Molecule: ribosomal RNA, 468 nt
Filed under: uncultured bacterium
Lineage: Bacteria
Description: partial 16S ribosomal RNA
Rfam family: Bacterial small subunit ribosomal RNA
Source: RNAcentral
GACGAACGCUGGCGGCGUGCUUAACACAUGCAAGUCGAACGGAAAGGCCCUGCUUUUGUGGGGUGCUCGAGUGGCGAACGGGUGAGUAACACGUGAGUAACCUGCCCUUGACUUUGGGAUAACUUCAGGAAACUGGGGCUAAUACCGGAUAGGAGCUCCUGCUGCAUGGUGGGGGUUGGAAAGUUUCGGCGGUUGGGGAUGGACUCGCGGCUUAUCAGCUUGUUGGUGGGGUAGUGGCUUACCAAGGCUUUGACGGGUAGCCGGCCUGAGAGGGUGACCGGCCACAUUGGGACUGAGAUACGGCCCAGACGCCUACGGGAGGCAGCAGUGGGGAAUAUUGCAGAAUGGGCGGAAGCCUGAUGCAGCAACGCCGCGUGCGGGAUGACGGCCUUCGGGUUGUAAACCGCUUUCGCCUGUGACGAAGCGUGAGUGACGGUAAUGGGUAAAGAAGCACCGGCUAACUACGUG